AACGAACGCUGGCGGCAGGCCUAACACAUGCAAGUCGAGCGCCCCAGCAAUGGGGAGCGGCAGACGGGUGAGUAACGCGUGGGUAUCUACCUAGUGGUGCGGAAUAGCCCAGGGAAACUUGGAGUAAUACCGCAUAAGCCCGAAAGGGGAAAGAUUUAUCGCCAUUAGAUGAGCCCGCGUUGGAUUAGCUAGUUGGUGGGGUAACGGCCCACCAAGGCGACGAUCCAUAGCUGGUCUGAGAGGAUGAUCAGCCACACUGGGACUGAGACACGGCCCAGACUCCUACGGGAGGCAGCAGUGGGGAAUAUUGGACAAUGGGCGCAAGCCUGAUCCAGCCAUGCCGCGUGAGUGACGAAGGUCUUCGGAUUGUAAAGCUCUUUUGGCGGGGACGAUAAUGACGGUACCCGCAGAAUAAGCCCCGGCUAACUUCGUGCCAGCAGCCGCGGUAAU
Molecule: ribosomal RNA, 450 nt
Filed under: uncultured bacterium
Lineage: Bacteria
Description: bacterial SSU rRNA
Rfam family: Bacterial small subunit ribosomal RNA
Source: RNAcentral